Molecule: unclassified non-coding RNA, 746 nt
Filed under: Hevea brasiliensis (rubber tree)
Lineage: Eukaryota; Viridiplantae; Streptophyta; Magnoliopsida; Malpighiales; Euphorbiaceae
Source: RNAcentral
AGGAAAAAAAAAUGAUGGAGAGAGAUCAUUCCUUCUGCAUCAAAACACUCAUCGGUGAUCUUAUUUUCAUACGCAAGGCAGUCGGCGAUGGCAUUCAAAGAUUACGUGUACCGAUAAUAAAGAGCCGAUUAAAAAAAAGCGAAGAAGCUGAAAUGGAGUACUAGCUCUUAUAUACAUACAAAAUCAUGUCAUAUAUAUAAAACAGCGAAUCCGUUCUGAAUUUAAAGAAGCAUCAGACAAUCAUGAAACGACCACACGUUUAGUACUUGGAAUAGAGAGAAAGAGAGAAUACAAAACCAAAUCUGGUACCAAUCCUUACAAAACAUAUUAUAGAACAGAACGUUCUGUUUUUCGAAUUCAAUAAGGUAAUAGAUAUGUUAACAUUCUAAUGGAAAUCGAAGAAUUAAAGAGAGCUGUUAAAGGAGCAUAAACAUGACUUGAUAACAAUAACAAGAAUAAAGAGAUACUAGCACUUUUGGAGUCGGAAGCUCAUUUUUCACAACUAAUUUGAGACUUGGAUCAUUUUCCUGGUGUUUCCUUACAAGUAUUUUAGAAGGAAUCAAACAGAAAGACGAGUAGCAGAAAAAGGAGAAAAUUAAAGGAGGAAGCGUACCUUCCGUUGCUACAGAACUCAUAGAGCUUGCCGCUGCUGGAGAAGAUGAUUACACCAAUUUCAACGUCGCAGAGUACGGAGAGUUCGCGAGCCUUCUUAAUCAAUCCGUUUCUCCUCUUGGAGAAAGUCACCA